Siniperca chuatsi (mandarin fish) is the source of this 816-nucleotide long non-coding RNA. RefSeq lists it as uncharacterized. The record is from RefSeq and is a predicted model, not a curated record. The transcript has 3 exons. Lineage: Eukaryota; Metazoa; Chordata; Actinopteri; Centrarchiformes; Sinipercidae.
AAUCAUUUGUUUGUAUCUGCAGGUUUGUUUCUGAUGAUGGAGCGAGAGGUUUCAUCCAUCUCUGACAUGUACAGUCUGCAGACGAUGAAGCAGCAGCAGACUGAUAAUCUGUCACAGAUGAGUCACUGUACAGAGGAAGUGCAACAACAAGUGGUUUAGUUUUCUGAAAGCUGAAUGCCAACAAAAUAAAGGAACUUGUUGUUAACUUUGAACAGAGCUUCUCAGUGUCUUUUUGGACCUGUGAUUUCAGAAACAACUUAAUCUCAACCUUGUGAUUAGAAACGAGUAAAUGACUAGAUUUUUUCAAUUAUGUUUGGUUAAAACAAGCAAACUUUACAGUAGUCCUGUCUUUAGCUACACAUGUGUGGAACAUAAACUAAACCCACUUAUACACUCAUCUGGAUUUCGUUCUGUCUGCGACAAAACCUUAUGAAACCAGGUCUCCGCAGACCUGCCGCCGCCUCCCGGAGCCAGUACCCGGCCGCCGCGCUUCGACACUCCGGCUGAAUCUGUCAUGGCUUUGCGGGUCACAGCGGCCAUGAUGUCCGCAGCCCGGGCUGCUUCAUGCUGUUGUUUCCCCGCUGACAGAGGCUCGCACAGCGGCCAGAUGUUACGCGCAGCUCCGUGGUGACGCUCCGGCGGGUCUAACCGCCGCCAUGUUUCUUCUUCUUCUCUGAGGCCUUUGAACUCGAGACGGAAGAAAAAAUGUCGAGAGUUGAUUCAUGUGAUUUACACAAAGCAGAUGCAAAGCUGUUUUUAAAGUAUCCACCCGAACCUCCCUUCAGGUCUCCCCUCCACAGUCACUCCCCCAAAACA